AAUGAACGCAGCAGGCAGUAUAAUGCUGCGUUCACGCCAUAUCGUAAUUACCGUAAUUUCGAGAUGACAGCACGUGACGUUCUACUCGGAGCUGUUCACGUCCUCGGGCUCGGACUCGGAAUUAUGCUUUUCUGUGGCAACACUAUCAACGCCUAAACAGAGCCUGCGGCGGUCAUGUGGCACAAGUCGUAGCUCUCAGAAAACUCCCAGUUCACAAGUUGUAAUUACGAGUUCUACGAGGAUGUGAACGCUUUUUACAAGUUGGAAUCUCGUAAUUACGGGAAUUCCGAUAUGGCGUGAACGCACCAUAAGCACACGUGACAUGGCAUUCCCGCAUCUGCGCACGCGCCCGCGCUCGCUCUCACCUCAUGCUUGUGGUUGAAUACAAAUGAUCAACAUAAUUAAUGGACAACUAGGCUAUAUCAGGGAAAACACAUCAGCGCAGUCCGGCGUAGAGAAAAGAAAAAGAAAAAGCCCAAGAUGAAGCCCGUGCAUCACUUUCAGCUUUGACUUUAUUCUGUCUGAUAUCUGUUCCCUUCAGAAGCUCUAUUAAAGAAUAUUAAGAGUAUUCUCAGAGAACAGCCUGAUGUUACAGCAGUUCAUUUCAGUGAGAUCGAGGAAUCAUCCCAAAGGAAGCACUUCACUACCUGUAUGGAUAACUGAAGACUCAGGUCAUUUCCUGUUGAUACGGCAUCAUCACGGUAGUUCUCUUACUGAUUUUGA
RNAcentral lists this long non-coding RNA (723 nucleotides) under Sinocyclocheilus anshuiensis. RNAcentral's name for it is "lncRNA (ENSSANG00000026962.1)". Lineage: Eukaryota; Metazoa; Chordata; Actinopteri; Cypriniformes; Cyprinidae. The record is from RNAcentral.